Long non-coding RNA from Dromaius novaehollandiae (emu), 1895 nucleotides. RefSeq lists it as uncharacterized. NCBI's taxonomy places the organism in Eukaryota, Metazoa, Chordata, Aves, Casuariiformes, Dromaiidae. The record is from RefSeq and is a predicted model, not a curated record. The transcript has 2 exons.
CCUGCCUGUGGGGGGAAUGACAGCAAACCAGCCCAGCUUGCUGCAAAGAUUUCAGUUAGACACCGGGAACAACUUUCCACAGCCAGGUGCUGUAAAAAGGAGCUCGCUGAACAAGUGGCAGGCCGGGACAGGCGAGGCACUCGCCCGGCGAAGGGGAGGGCACCCUGGCACUGGGGGGGCUUUCUGGGGCACCGCCGUGCUCCUUGCCUGGACGGCCGAGGCAGAGCACCUGAAACGACGAGCCUCAAGAGACAGAGUGUCCCCAGAGGGAGCCCAGCCCAUGCCAAACAGGGAUUUUAUCGAUCUUUUUUAAAAAAAAGAGUGACUUUAACUCUGGCUCCCCUCCAAGGAGAGGGCCUAGUAUUGCAACUCAGUCUCAGUAACGCAUCCGCGACCUUGGUCAGACAGCAAAAGUGUUGGAGCCGAUGCUUAUUUUUACCUCCCUCUUGACAUGGUUCAGUUCUCCUCGCAGCCCUCCAGGAUGUUUGCAUGUGCUCCCACCCCAGCCGCUUCCCUCCCUCCCAGCCACUUCCCUGCCAGCGUGGGCAGGAUUUGCCCCCAGGCCCAGGGCAGUGGGACCCUGUGGGAAUCUGCUGCUGGAGAAGCGGAGGGUCCCCAAGUCGCUUGUGCGGCAGCGUAGCUAGCACUGGAGGAAGCGACCGUCUUGGGAAAGGCUGGGGAUGGACUUCGGUAGGUGCUGAUCUCCCUCCACCUUCCCCUUCAACCACUCAACACCUCCAUGGAAUGACUUAGUGGAAAACACUCCAUCCCUCGACGGCUCUGCAGGGAGAGCAGAUCUCUUCACAGAUCACCUGAUAGAGCUGGAAAGGAAAAACAACCAGUUUCUGGGCCCACAAGCGGUUUUCACUGUGCAGUACCGCUCUUCCCCAGCACGCGUCCUCCGCCACCAGCCAGACGCGCACAGCCAGCACCGAGCGGCCAUGCACAGCCCACUGCGGCCCAGAGCCCCCACUAGACCCAGCCCACAUGUCCCAGCUCCCCACCUGCAAGCAAACCAGGAGAUGAAGUCGUUUGUCUUCCAGGCUGUAUUUCAAGCUUACGAUUUGAAGGUACACAACAGCCGCAACUGCUACGCGUCCUCAUCACCCUGCUCUAUUCUCCGCGUGCUUCUCGAAACAGCAGUGGUAAAAUUCAUUGGUUUACAGACAAGGAUCUCACAAGGAGGAAUAUAAAGGCACUAAUCAACAUUUCAAUGAUUAUCACUAGCAUUUCUUUCCUGGUAUUAAAAACAUCCUUUAAAGUUCCAGGCAAUCCUCUUAUCCUGUUCCCACUCCAUACUAAACACACCACAAGGCAACUGCUGUCAGCAGUUCACGAAAGUCAGAGCCAUGACACCAAGUCCAUUUGUGAUCCCACGCACUGAGGUGAAGCAAUCAGGGAUGAGAUAAAGCUGGCCACCAAUUCCAGAAGUCCUACGAGCUGGUUCCUGGAUCACAGCAUCCUCCUCCAGAAAGCCCCUGCCCAGCAGCCUCCGUCUUUGCGAGCAGAGCUUCUUACUAACACAAAUCUGAGGGCCAAGUCCUCAGCCCUCACUUUGGUCUUCCCCCAGAGAAAGCCCCUGCGAGGCCAUGUUACUGCAGCAGCCAUCUCAGAAGAGCUGCUGGAGAAGCUGCUGUACAGCAACAUGCAGCUUCUUCAGGCACCGAAGUGGAAAAGUGGGGAGAAAAGAGGCAUGUACAUAAUUCAGAGCAUGCAGCCACCAGUGCUGACACUGCCUCCCAACCCUGGCUCUUCCCCUAGCCCCAAAGACAGCAUGGAACAGCACAGACGCUGUCGCAGUCCAUGGGGUGACAGGUUAGACACUGCAAGAACAUUUCCAAAAGCAGUAAUGGCACUUUGUGGUUCACGAAGCACUUGGGGGGGGGGGGGGAGGG